This 494-nucleotide ribosomal RNA is filed under the name uncultured bacterium. RNAcentral describes it as "bacterial SSU rRNA". It matches the Rfam family "Bacterial small subunit ribosomal RNA", at positions 28 to 509 of the family's 1533-position model. The record is from RNAcentral.
GACGAACGCUGGCGGCGUGGAUUAGGCAUGCAAGUCGAACGGUAGGAUACCUUCGGGUAUCUGAGAGUGGCGAACGGGUGAGUAACACGUAGGUGAUCUACCCUCAAGAUUGGGACAACCCAGGGAAACUUGGGCUAAUACCGGAUGAAAGCAGCAGUGAUGUUGUUUGAAAGGUGGCGUAAGCUGCCGUUUGGGGAUGAGCCUGCGCUCUAUUAGUUAGUUGGCGGGGUAAAGGCCCACCAAGGCGAUGAUAGAUAGGCGGCCUUAACGGGUGGUCGCCCACACUGGGAUUGAGAUACGGCCCAGACUCCUACGGGAGGCAGCAGUCGAGAAUAGUCUACAAUGGCCGAAAGGCUGAUAGUGCGACGCCGCGUGAACGAAGAAGCCCUUCGGGGUCGUAAAGUUCUUUUAUUAUGUGUAGCAGUGCUUUUCUAUGUGAACAGCAUGGGGAGAGAGAUAUUAGCAUAUGAAUAAGCAACGGCUAACUCCGUGCC